This 72-nucleotide transfer RNA is filed under the name Camelus bactrianus (Bactrian camel). It matches the Rfam family "tRNA". Rfam says of the family: Transfer RNA (tRNA) molecules are approximately 80 nucleotides in length. Their secondary structure includes four short double-helical elements and three loops (D, anti-codon, and T loops). The record is from Rfam by way of RNAcentral. Lineage: Eukaryota; Metazoa; Chordata; Mammalia; Artiodactyla; Camelidae. RNAcentral also lists the same sequence under 3 other names.
GUGGGUAUAGCUCAGUGGUAGACUGCAUGCUUAGCAUGCAUGAGGUCCUGGGUUCAAUCCCCAGUACCUCUG